Molecule: ribosomal RNA, 520 nt
Filed under: uncultured Glomus
Lineage: Eukaryota; Fungi; Glomeromycota; Glomeromycetes; Glomerales; Glomeraceae
Description: SSU rRNA
Rfam family: Eukaryotic small subunit ribosomal RNA
Source: RNAcentral
AGCAGCCGCGGUAAUUCCAGCUCCAAUAGCGUAUACUAAAGUUGUUGCAGUUAAAAAGCUCGUAGUUGAAUUUCGGGAUCAAUACGUCGGUCGUGCUUCGGUACGUACUGGCGUAAUUGAUUUUUCCCUUCUGACGAACCAUGAUGUCAUUAACUUGGUGUCAUGGGAAAUCAGGACUGUUACUUUGAAAAAAUUAGAGUGUUUAAAGCAGGCUCACGCUUGAAUACAUUAGCAUGGAAUAAUGAAAUAGGACGUUCGAUCCUAUUUUGUUGGUUUUUAGGAUCAACGUAAUGAUUAAUAGGGAUAGUUGGGGGCAUUAGUAUUCAAUUGUCAGAGGUGAAAUUCUUGGAUUUAUCGAAGACUAACUACUGCGAAAGCAUUUGCCAAGGAUGUUUUCAUUAAUCAAGAACGAAAGUUAGGGGAUCGAAGACGAUCAGAUACCGUCGUAGUCUUAACCAUAAACUAUGCCGACUAGGGAUCGGAUGAUGUUAAUUUUUAAUGACUCAUUCGGCGCCUUAAC